This 505-nucleotide ribosomal RNA is filed under the name uncultured bacterium. RNAcentral describes it as "partial 16S ribosomal RNA". It matches the Rfam family "Bacterial small subunit ribosomal RNA", at positions 28 to 507 of the family's 1533-position model. The record is from RNAcentral.
GACGAACGCUGGCGGCGUGCCUAAUACAUGCAAGUAGAACGCACAGUCUAUACCGUAGCUUGCUACACCAUAAACUGUGAGUUGCGAACGGGUGAGUAACGCGUAGCUAAUCUGCCUGGUAGCGGGGGAUAACUAUUGGAAACGAUAGCUAAUAUCGCAUAAUCUUAAUUAUUGCAUGAUAAUUGAUUGAAUGAUGCAAUCGCAUCACUACCAGAUGGACCUGCGUUGUAUUAGCUAGUAGGGGAGGUAACGGGUCACCCAAGCGAAGAUACAUAGCCGGCCUGGGGAGGUGGACGGCCAAACCGGGAACGGAGACACGGCCCAGCUCCCUACGGGAGGAAGAGGUGGGGAAUCUCGGCCAAGGGCGGAAAUCCGGACGAACAAAGCCGGGGGGGUGGAGGAGGGUUUCGGGUCGUAAAACUCUGUUGUAAGGGAAAGAAGAGUGUGGGAGUGAAAAGUGCACACUGUGACGGUAUCUUACCAGAAAGGGACGGCUAACUACGUG